UUUCCGUAGGUGAACCUGCGGAAGGAUCAUUAUUGUAUAACCGAGGUGCGAGGGCUGUCGCUGACCCGAAAGGGCGUGCACGCCAGAGUGCCCCCACACACAUCCAUCUCACCCCUAUGUGCACCACCGCGUGGGUCCCCCUUUGGCUUGUUCGGAGGGGGGCUUACGCUUUCACACAAACUUUGUAUGCAGUGUAGAAUGUAUUUUUUGUUUUUGCGAUCACGCAAUCAAUACAACUUUCAACAACGGAUCUCUUGGCUCUC
RNAcentral lists this unclassified non-coding RNA (263 nucleotides) under plant metagenome. Its description in RNAcentral is "partial contains small subunit ribosomal RNA, internal transcribed spacer 1, and 5.8S ribosomal RNA". The record is from RNAcentral.